CUUUUAGCGAUGGAUAUCUUGGCUC
RNAcentral lists this ribosomal RNA (25 nucleotides) under Symbiodinium sp. ex Montipora digitata. RNAcentral's name for it is "partial 5.8S ribosomal RNA". Lineage: Eukaryota; Dinophyceae; Suessiales; Symbiodiniaceae. The record is from RNAcentral.